Molecule: ribosomal RNA, 440 nt
Filed under: uncultured bacterium
Lineage: Bacteria
Description: partial 16S ribosomal RNA
Rfam family: Bacterial small subunit ribosomal RNA
Source: RNAcentral
CCUACGGGAGACAGCAGUGGGGGAUAUUGCACAAUGGGGGAAACCCUGAUGCAGCGACGCCGCGUGGGUGAAGAAGCGCCUCGGCGCGUAAAGCCCUGUCAGCAGGGAAGAAAAUGACGGUACCUGAAGAAGAAGCCCCGGCUAACUACGUGCCAGCAGCCGCGGUAAUACGUAGGGGGCAAGCCUUAUACGGAUUUACUGGGUGUAAAGGGGGCGCAGACGGCGAUGCAAGCCAGGAGGGAAAGCCCGGGGCCCAACCCCGGGACUGCUCUUGGAACUGCGUGGCUAGAGUGCAGGAGGGGCAGGCUGAAUUCCUGGUGUAGCGGUGAAAUGCGUAGAUAUCAGGAGGAACACCGGUGGCGAAGGCGGCCUGCUGGACUGCAACUGACGUUGAGGCCCGAAAGCGUGGGGAGCAAACAGGAUUAGAUACCCUUGUAGUC